UCUUUAGUAGCUCAGGGGUUAGAGCAUUCGGCUGUUAACUGAAAAGUCAUUGGUUCAAUUCCAAUUUAAAGAG
RNAcentral lists this transfer RNA (73 nucleotides) under Piridium sociabile. Its description in RNAcentral is "tRNA-Asn". It matches the Rfam family "tRNA". Rfam says of the family: Transfer RNA (tRNA) molecules are approximately 80 nucleotides in length. Their secondary structure includes four short double-helical elements and three loops (D, anti-codon, and T loops). Further hydrogen bonds mediate the characteristic L-shaped molecular structure. tRNAs have two regions of fundamental functional importance: the anti-codon, which is responsible for specific mRNA codon recognition, and the 3' end, to which the tRNAs corresponding amino acid is attached (by aminoacyl-tRNA synthetases). tRNAs cope with the degeneracy of the genetic code in two manners: having more than one tRNA (with a specific anti-codon) for a particular amino acid; and 'wobble' base-pairing, i.e. permitting non-standard base-pairing at the 3rd anti-codon position. The record is from RNAcentral. Lineage: Eukaryota; Vitrellaceae.